GGAAAGCCAGUCAAGAGGAUGACCGAACUGCAGAUGAGAAGGAAUAAAUGGAGUGAGGCGGUUAAGAAGGGAGGAUCCUGAAUGCAGAAUACACCCUGGUAGAAGCACGUCUCACUUUGGACUGGCCAUGGUUUAAGGAUUUCUCAGACCUGGUGGCUGAUGGCUACUGCACUGGACAGUCAUGGGUGAAGAAGAGGAUCCUGUGAGGAGUGAGACUGAUUUUCAACUUCCUCCUCUCUGCCAGGUCUAUUUUCCUUUGCUGUUCAAGUACCAUGUGAGAAAUACAUAACUUCUGGGAAGCACAGAAAAGACAGUUCAACUCCUUCAUUAUUUCUCUCUCCUCUUACCAACCUAUUCUUGGACGUCUGUAGAUUCGAAAUUGCACACUCAGGUAUGCU
Long non-coding RNA from Peromyscus maniculatus bairdii (prairie deer mouse), 398 nucleotides. RefSeq lists it as uncharacterized. Lineage: Eukaryota; Metazoa; Chordata; Mammalia; Rodentia; Cricetidae. The record is from RefSeq and is a predicted model, not a curated record.